CUACGGGACGCUCCAGUGGGGAAUUUUGCGCAAUGGGGGAAACCCUGACGCAGCAACGCCGCGUGCGGGACGAAGGCCUUCGGGUUGUAAACCGCUUUCGGUGGGGACGAAAGCCCCGCAGCGAAUAGUUGCGGGAUUUGACGGUACCCACAAAAGAAGCCUCGGCUAACUCUGUGCCAGCAGCCGCGGUAAGACAGAGGGGGCAAGCGUUGUUCGGAAUGAUUGGGCGUAAAGGGCGUGUAGGCGGUCAGUCGCGUCCUGGGUGACAAGCCUGGGCUUAACCCGGGAGGUGCCUAGGAUACGGGCUGACUGGAGGGUCGCAGAGGCGCGUGGAAUUCCCGGUGUAGCGGUGAAAUGCGUAGAGAUCGGGAGGAACACCGGUGGCGAAGGCGGCGCGCUGGGCGACACCUGACGCUGAGGCGCGACAGCGUGGGGAGCAAACAGGAUUAGAUACCCGGGUAGUC
This 464-nucleotide ribosomal RNA is filed under the name uncultured bacterium. RNAcentral's name for it is "partial 16S ribosomal RNA". It matches the Rfam family "Bacterial small subunit ribosomal RNA", at positions 339 to 795 of the family's 1533-position model. The record is from RNAcentral.